RNAcentral lists this ribosomal RNA (489 nucleotides) under uncultured bacterium. Its description in RNAcentral is "partial 16S ribosomal RNA". It matches the Rfam family "Bacterial small subunit ribosomal RNA", at positions 30 to 507 of the family's 1533-position model. The record is from RNAcentral.
UUGAACGCUGGCGGCAUGCCUUACACAUGCAAGUCGAACGGCAGCAUGAUCUAGCUUGCUAGAUUGAUGGCGAGUGGCGAACGGGUGAGUAAUACAUCGGAACGUGCCCUGUAGUGGGGGAUAACUAGUCGAAAGAUUAGCUAAUACCGCAUACGACCUGAGGGUGAAAGUGGGGGACCGCAAGGCCUCAUGCUAUAGGAGCGGCCGAUGUCUGAUUAGCUAGUUGGUGAGGUAAAGGCUCACCAAGGCGACGAUCAGUAGCUAGUCUGAGAGGACGAUCAGCCACACUGGGACUGAGACACGGCCCAGACUCCUACGGGAGGCAGCAGUGGGGAAUUUUGGACAAUGGGCGAAAGCCUGAUCCAGCAAUGCCGCGUGUGUGAAGAAGGCCUUCGGGUUGUAAAGCACUUUUGUCCGGAAAGAAAUGGCUCUGGUUAAUACCUGGGGUCGAUGACGGUACCGGAAGAAUAAGGACCGGCUAACUACGUG